RNAcentral lists this ribosomal RNA (295 nucleotides) under uncultured Prevotella sp. RNAcentral's name for it is "partial 16S ribosomal RNA". It matches the Rfam family "Bacterial small subunit ribosomal RNA", at positions 55 to 339 of the family's 1533-position model. Lineage: Bacteria; Pseudomonadati; Bacteroidota; Bacteroidia; Bacteroidales; Prevotellaceae. The record is from RNAcentral.
AUGCAAGUCGAGGGAAACGAUAUUGGAAGCUUGCUUCCGAUGGGCGUCGACCGGCGCACGGGUGAGUAACGCGUAUCCAACCUUCCCGCAACUGGGGAAUAACCUUGCGAAAGUAAGACUAAUACCCAAUGACGUCUCUAGAAGACAUCUGAAAUGGAGUAAAGGUUUCGGCCGGUUGCGGAUGGGGAUGCGUCCGAUUAGCUUGACGGCGGGGUAACGGCCCACCGUGGCAUCGAUCGGUAGGGGUUCUGAGAGGAAGGUCCCCACAUUGGAACUGAGACACGGUCCAAACUCC